AUCCAGCUGACAAGUCUCAAAUAGGAUAAAACGUGCGUCAAACUGGAU
Molecule: non-coding RNA, 48 nt
Organism: Schistosoma margrebowiei
Lineage: Eukaryota; Metazoa; Platyhelminthes; Trematoda; Strigeidida; Schistosomatidae
Source: Rfam